RNAcentral lists this ribosomal RNA (274 nucleotides) under uncultured bacterium. RNAcentral's name for it is "partial 16S ribosomal RNA". It matches the Rfam family "Archaeal small subunit ribosomal RNA", at positions 473 to 747 of the family's 1478-position model. The record is from RNAcentral.
AAACCAGCACCUCAAGUGGUCAGGAUGAUUAUUGGGCCUAAAGCAUCCGUAGCCGGCUCUGUAAGUUUUCGGUUAAAUCUGUACGCUCAACGUACAGGCUGCCGGAAAUACUGCAGGGCUAGGGAGUGGGAGAGGUAGACGGUACUCGGGAGGAAGGGGUAAAAUCCUUUGAUCUAUUGAGGACCACCUGUGGCGAAGGCGGUCUACCAGAACACGUUCGACGGUGAGGGAUGAAAGCUGGGGGAGCAAACCGGAUUAGAAACCCGUGUAGUCC